Prosopis cineraria is the source of this 556-nucleotide long non-coding RNA. RefSeq lists it as uncharacterized. Lineage: Eukaryota; Viridiplantae; Streptophyta; Magnoliopsida; Fabales; Fabaceae. The transcript has 3 exons. The record is from RefSeq and is a predicted model, not a curated record.
CAUCGAACUUGCUAGAGGCAGAGAGAGAAGUUCUGGCAUCGGACCUAAAAUGCCUCUGCCAUUUCCGUCAUCUUCCUUCUUCCUCCACUGAUCUCAAUGUCGCUGGCGCCAUGGGUGUUUGGAGAGCUGUGUCUGCUGUUGCUCUGUCAAGCGUCGGUCUACUUGAUUCUUCCCUGUGAACACCGUCGAUCACUUCUCCCCUGUUUUUGGCGUUGAUGCGUGCUCAUGUGACUGGAAAAAAAAACAGAGAGAAGAAAAACUUCGACCUUCUCCCUCUUCAGGUGUCAUAGGCUCUGUUGAUAUGUUAAUUGAUGCUGUGACUUUCGCUGGUCCUUACGGGGCUGUUGUAUUCAAUUGAAACGAAGAAUGGUAGAUCAAAUCAAUUUUAAUGUGCAUUUAAAUUUAUGCAUUAUAUUUUGUAACUUCUUGUGUCAGGUGCUCUAUAUAAGCUGUAGUUAGGGUCCUCAUCCUUAUUGAUUGUUUUUGUUAUCUGCUGGUGAGAGCAGAGUUCCUUGUUACUGUUGUUGUUUUGUAAAAUGAUUGUCGAUUUGUUUUU